RNAcentral lists this long non-coding RNA (431 nucleotides) under Mus caroli (Ryukyu mouse). Its description in RNAcentral is "predicted gene 14209 (MGP_CAROLIEiJ_G0034491.1)". The record is from RNAcentral. Lineage: Eukaryota; Metazoa; Chordata; Mammalia; Rodentia; Muridae.
UACCUUAGAAACUGCGUUGCAUUUUCAUUUCAAGAGUUACUGGGGAACAUAGUAAAUCUAGGUCACCGUUAUUGACCUCUUUCAAAAGUAGCAGUUGUGAUCACUGUAAUUAUUAACAAUGAUAUAAAUCUACUUAGUUGUUUUUCAGAAUUGAUGGCACGCUCUCAGGAGCUAGCAUCCCAGGGUCAGGGUCAGGGUAUCCUGAUGGCAGUAUAUGUCAGGAAGAUGGAACCUUGUCUCUUUCCCAAAGAUGGGUCUGAAUCCUUCAACCCUUUCUCCAGAUACCUCUGUCAUCUAGAUAGAUGGACCCAGGUAAAAGCUAUGGGGCAAUGGUGGGCAGGGUGGGAAGGGAAGGUAAAUGUCCAGGAGAGGUGAAUGGCAGAGCUCAGCUACUUCCCAGGCGGAGUAGGAGGCACUCAGACGAGUCGCCU